UGGAGAAUCUUGGACAAUGGGCGCAAGCCUGAUCCAGCCAUGCCGCGUGGAUGAUGAAGGCCUUAGGGUUGUAAAAUCCUUUUCGUUGGGGACGAUAAUGACGGUACCCAAAGAAGAAGCUCCGGCUAACUUCGUGCCAGCAGCCGCGGUAAUACGAAGGGGGCUAGCGUUGUUCGGAUUUACUGGGCGUAAAGCGCGUGUAGGCGGACUUGUAAGUUGGGGGUGAAAUCCCGAGGCUCAACCUCGGAACUGCCUCCAAAACUACAAAUCUGGACCUAAGUAGAGGCAAGUGGAAUUGCGAGUGUAGAGGUGAAAUUCGUAGAUAUUCGCAGGAACACCAGUGGCGAAGGCGACUUGCUGGACUUAUGGUGACGCUGAGACGCGAAAGCGUGGGGAGCAAACAGGAUUAGAUACCCCGGUAGUCCCUGAGCGGGCUGGCAAGGCGCAU
Molecule: ribosomal RNA, 448 nt
Filed under: uncultured bacterium
Lineage: Bacteria
Description: bacterial SSU rRNA
Rfam family: Bacterial small subunit ribosomal RNA
Source: RNAcentral